RNAcentral lists this unclassified non-coding RNA (391 nucleotides) under soil metagenome. RNAcentral describes it as "partial contains 5.8S ribosomal RNA, internal transcribed spacer 2, and large subunit ribosomal RNA". The stretch from base 1 to 122 matches the Rfam family "5.8S ribosomal RNA", at positions 35 to 154 of the family's 154-position model. The record is from RNAcentral.
GAUGAAGAACGUAGUGAAAUGCGAUACUUGGUGUGAAUUGCAGAAUCCCGUGAACCAUCGAGUCUUUGAACGCAAGUUGCGCCCGAAGCCAUUAGGCCGAGGGCACGCCUGCCUGGGCGUCACACGUCGUUGCCCCCCUAUCUACUCCUUCGGGAUUGCGGGGGGCGGAUGAUGGCCUCCCGUGCGCCUCGCCGCGCGGUUGGCAUAAAUGCCAAGUCCUCGGCGACGCACGCCACGACAAUCGGUGGUUGCGAAACCUCGGUUGCCCGUCGUGUGCGGUCGUCGCGCAUCGAGGGCUCGAAAAAAUUGCCGGGUUCCGGCUCGGCUUUCAACGCGACCCCAGGUCAGGCGGGGUUACCCGCUGAAUUUAAGCAUAUCAAUAAGCGGAGGA